This 473-nucleotide ribosomal RNA is filed under the name uncultured soil bacterium. RNAcentral describes it as "bacterial SSU rRNA". It matches the Rfam family "Bacterial small subunit ribosomal RNA", at positions 26 to 518 of the family's 1533-position model. The record is from RNAcentral.
AGGACGAACGCUGGCGGCGUGCUUAACACAUGCAAGUCGAACGAUGACCUCCAGCUUGCUGGGGUGAUUAGUGGCGAACGGGUGAGUAACACGUGAGUAACCUGCCCUCCACUCUGGGAUAAGCACUGGAAACGGUGUCUAAUACCGGAUACGAGCUUCCGCCGCAUGGUGAGGAGCUGGAAAGAAUUUUGGUGGGGGAUGGACUCGCGGCCUAUCAGGUAGUUGGUGAGGUAAUGGCUCACCAAGCCGACGACGGGUAGCCGGCCUGAGAGGGUGACCGGCCACACUGGACUGAGACACGGCCCAGACUCCUACGGGAGGCAGCAGUGGGAAUAUGCACAAUGGGCGAAAGCCUGAUGCAGCGACGCCGCGUGAGGGAUGACGGCCUUCGGUUGUAAACCUCUUUCAGUCAGGGACGAAGCGCAAGUGACGUACUGCAGAAGAAGCACCGCUAACUACGUGCCAGCAGCCGA